RNAcentral lists this ribosomal RNA (468 nucleotides) under uncultured bacterium. RNAcentral's name for it is "partial 16S ribosomal RNA". It matches the Rfam family "Bacterial small subunit ribosomal RNA", at positions 28 to 507 of the family's 1533-position model. The record is from RNAcentral.
GACGAACGCUGGCGGCGUGCUUAACACAUGCAAGUCGAACGGAAAGGCCCUGCUUUUGUGGGGUGCUCGAGUGGCGAACGGGUGAGUAACACGUGAGUAACCUGCCCUUGACUUUGGGAUAACUUCAGGAAACUGGGGCUAAUACCGGAUAGGAGCUCCUGCUGCAUGGUGGGGGUUGGAAAGUUUCGGCGGUUGGGGAUGGACUCGCGGCUUAUCAGCUUGUUGGUGGGGUAGUGGCUUACCAAGGCUUUGACGGGUAGCCGGCCUGAGAGGGUGACCGGCGACAUUGGGACUGAGAUACGGCCCAGACUCCUACGGGAGGCAGCAGUGGGGAAUAUUGCACAAUGGGCGGAAGCCGGAUGCAGCAACGCCGCGUGCGGGAUGACGGCCUUCGGGGUGUAAACCGCUUUCGCCUGUGACGAAGCGUGAGUGACGGUAAUGGGUAAAGAAGCACCGGCUAACUACGUG